CUUUAUUCACCCGCUUCGGCUGUUAUCAGUCCAUACAAUGGGCGUUAUUAGCAGAAAUCAGUCCCAUAGAUAUGGGCCAUCUCCACCUGCUAGAUUGUUCAGAAGGUUGUUAUCAUCCAUCCAGAUGGAGGAUCACUAACAGGAGCGUGGAAGACUCCAGAAUCCACUCUGGCUGGAACCGUGGAUACAGCAGUGUUACAGAACAGUUCUCCACAGUCGCUGUCCACAUGGGUCAGUGGGACAUAGAAGCACACUGCUAAUGUGGGACUCUGACCAGCAACAUCCAGCAAGACCCAGACAGCGUUUUCUAUCUCCCAGCUGAAGUUUUUUUGUUUGUCUGUGACUAGAGAGUCAGAUUUUUGUUGAGGCUGGAGGAACAGCCUUACACUUGCAGAGGUUAAUACAUGCUACUGAUCCCUGAUGGGAGAAUCUUCACCUCUGCCAACAAAGAAGCCUGGUGGAUAUUUGUUUACAGUCUGAUGAUGGGACAUCAUGCUCUGCAUCUUCAAAGUUUGUCUCUUGAUUAUUAUUGAUACACAAUAAUGUGAAGUAUGCUCAUAUCUAGUAUAACUGGACCAACCUGGUGCUCUUCAUUUAUGGAGGCUGUUGAGUCUGAAUGUUGGAUGUUGUGUAUCUCGUGUUCUCUGGGCUUUGUUGUCCUCAGUCUUUUUGCAGAAUCAGAAAACAAAACCAGGAUGACCGUAAAUGUUUCUUCUCCAAUUGGAUGAUGAUAAGACUGUGACACGGGAUGCCACCUUUAGUCUUGUGAUGAAGCAAAGCUCAGGAAGAAGUGUGAUUAAAUGGUACCCACAUGUGUGCUGCUGAGAAGGAUGUACAGGGGCACCUGCAGCCAAAUCCAAGCCUCCUCAGGUUUGGGGAAACCUGCAGUCAGCUGAGACUGAAGAAGUCACUUGGAUGAGUGAUUUAAACGUUUCUCCCACAAAACGCUACGUCCAGAUGAACAGAUUCAACUUUUGGAGAUUUACUUUCCUGGAUGAUUGAGAAUGCAUCAAGACGUCCUUCAUGGUGACAUCACCAGAGACAGCCCCGCCCACCUCAGGACCUCGCCAUUGAUCAUGAUGAUUAUAAUAAUGACAGCGAGCGGAACUAAGACUGUAAAAUCUACCGACCAGA
Long non-coding RNA from Oreochromis aureus, 1134 nucleotides. The record is from Ensembl. NCBI's taxonomy places the organism in Eukaryota, Metazoa, Chordata, Actinopteri, Cichliformes, Cichlidae.